RNAcentral lists this unclassified non-coding RNA (344 nucleotides) under soil metagenome. Its description in RNAcentral is "partial contains 5.8S ribosomal RNA, internal transcribed spacer 2, and large subunit ribosomal RNA". The stretch from base 1 to 121 matches the Rfam family "5.8S ribosomal RNA", at positions 35 to 154 of the family's 154-position model. The record is from RNAcentral.
GAUGAAGAACGCAGCGAAAUGCGAUAAGUAAUGCGAAUUGCAGAAUUUCCGUGAGUCAUCGAAUCUUUGAACGCACAUUGCGCCCACUGGUAUUCCGGUGGGCAUGCCUGUUCGAGCGUCAUUAUCCUCCCUCAAACCCCGGGUUUGGUGUUGGACCCAAGUUGUGUGAACAACUGGUCUCAAAGACAAUGACGGCGUCCGUGGGACCCUCGGUGCAACGAGCUUUUAGGAGCACGCAUCGAGUUGCAAGGACCUUCCGGGCCGGUCUCCUUUACCAUUUUACAAGGUUGACCUCGGAUCAGGUAGGAAUACCCGCUGAACUUAAGCAUAUCAUAAGCGGAGGA